UAGCCAGCCAAUUAAUCUACUCAUUUGAAUGUGUUUCUGCAGAAGUUCAGGAACAGCUGGCAAUGGUGAUGCCAUUUUAUGAGCCUUAAGGACAACUGAGGUCAUUACUGUCCCUCAAAAUUGCUACAAUA
Molecule: small nucleolar RNA, 131 nt
Organism: Jaculus jaculus (lesser Egyptian jerboa)
Lineage: Eukaryota; Metazoa; Chordata; Mammalia; Rodentia; Dipodidae
Source: Ensembl